Cyanistes caeruleus (blue tit) is the source of this 834-nucleotide non-coding RNA. The record is from RefSeq and is a predicted model, not a curated record. NCBI's taxonomy places the organism in Eukaryota, Metazoa, Chordata, Aves, Passeriformes, Paridae.
AGAGACCAAAACCCAAACACAAGGUGAGUGCGGUGGGUGCUGUCCUAGAGGAAGAGCACUUGGAGUAGCAGAGGAGCGUUCCCACCCCAGCUGAACCCCAAAUGUGGAAGCACAUGAGAUAUCACUGCUUGUUGUCAAUAUCCCCUGUUGCUGCAGGAGGGCUGCUCCAGAAGGUGCAGUGCCUGGCCAGGAUCUCUCACGUCAGCCACCAGCAGUUGGAGGUGGAGGGUGAGAUGCCGCCUCUUCUGUGCUGAGCCCUAGAGCAGAUAUAGCUCCUGGUACUGUGGGUGUGUAGGGUCAAGGCCCUGUGAAGCCACAGCUGGACACACCAUACACAGCUCUCCUUCUCAUAAUAGGGCAUGACAAAGCUGGAGACUCUGCUAUCCAUUAGUGAACUGGGGUGUAUGCUGCUGACCCUGGGCUCAGAAAAAUAACCUAAGCUUGACAGGGCCCUGGGAACCUUCUGCCCUCGGGUACAUUUUUCUGCUCUGAACUGGGAGGUUGUGAAUUCUCUAAGCAGGCCCCGUGCACAGGAGGACUCCUAUCUAUAGGAAUGUCACUCUCAAUAGCUUUGGAAAUUCAGCUCGAGAAGUCUCUGGAAGUGGCCUUCCCCUCUGCCUGGUUUAAUGAUUGCUAUUACACUUUUAGGUCACCAGUAAAUAAGCCCUGGAAGUGCCACUUUGUUGUGAGUGAAUAGCUGAAUCUCAUAUAUCCAGCUAAAAAUCCAAUGACAACAAAACCAUGGAGGAGCAAAUCAGCCCAUCCUAGGAUAAAAAUCACUGCAAACCAGCAUCAACUGUGUUCUCUUAAUAAAGUGCAAUAAUUAUAAUUAUA